AUUGAACGCAGGCGGCAUGCCUUACACAUGCAAGUCGAACGGCAGCAUGGAGAGCUUGCUCUCUGAUGGCGAGUGGCGAACGGGUGAGUAAUGCAUCGGAACGUACCGUGUAAUGGGGGAUAACGUAGCGAAAGUUACGCUAAUACCGCAUACGACCUGAGGGUGAAAGCAGGGGAUCGCAAGACCUUGCGUUAUACGAGCGGCCGAUGUCAGAUUAGCUAGUUGGGGAGGUAAAGGCUCACCAAGGCGACGAUCUGUAGCGGGUCUGAGAGGAUGAUCCGCCACACUGGGACGGAGACACGGCCCAGACUCCUACGGGAGGCAGCAGUGGGGAAUUUUGGACAAUGGGGGCAACCCUGAUCCAGCCAUGCCGCGUGAGUGAAGAAGGCCUUCGGGUUGUAAAGCUCUUUCGGCCGGGAAGAAAUCGCACAGGCUAAUACUCUGUGUGGAUGACGGUACCGGCAUAAGAAGCACCGGCUAACUACGUGCCAGCCGCCGCGGUAA
Molecule: ribosomal RNA, 504 nt
Filed under: uncultured bacterium
Lineage: Bacteria
Description: partial 16S ribosomal RNA
Rfam family: Bacterial small subunit ribosomal RNA
Source: RNAcentral